CUGCUCACUUUGGCAGCACAUGUGCUAAAACUGGAACGAAACAGUGAAGAUUAGCAUGAGCCCUGUGUGAGGAUGACACACAAAGUUGUAAAACAUUCCUUGUUUAU
Molecule: small nuclear RNA, 107 nt
Organism: Oryctolagus cuniculus (rabbit)
Lineage: Eukaryota; Metazoa; Chordata; Mammalia; Lagomorpha; Leporidae
Source: Ensembl